Molecule: ribosomal RNA, 370 nt
Filed under: uncultured bacterium
Lineage: Bacteria
Description: bacterial SSU rRNA
Rfam family: Bacterial small subunit ribosomal RNA
Source: RNAcentral
AUACGUAGGUGACAAGCGUUAUCCGGAAUUAUUGGGCGUAAAGGGUGCGUAGGCGGCUAAUUAAGUACAAGGUUAAAGUUCAGAGCUCAACUCUGUGAUGCCUUGUAAACUGGUUGGCUAGAGUACAGGAGAGGUGAGUGGAAUUCCAUGUGUAGCGGUAAAAUGCGUAGAGAUAUGGAGGAACACCAGUGGCGAAGGCGGCUCACUGGCCUGUAACUGACGCUGAGGCACGAAAGCGUGGGGAGCAAAUAGGAUUAGAUACCCUAGUAGUCCACGCCGUAAACGAUGAAUACUAAGUGUUGGAGUAACAUUCAGUGCUGCAGUUAACGCAAUAAGUAUUCCGCCUGGGGAGUAUGCACGCAAGUGUGAA